Molecule: transfer RNA, 76 nt
Filed under: Candidatus Kuenenbacteria bacterium HGW-Kuenenbacteria-1
Lineage: Bacteria; Candidatus Kueneniibacteriota
Description: tRNA-Trp
Rfam family: tRNA
About the family: Transfer RNA (tRNA) molecules are approximately 80 nucleotides in length.
Source: RNAcentral
GCGGGUGUAGCUCAAUUGGUAGAGCGCUGGUCUCCAAAACCAGAGGUUCCAGGUUCAAGUCCUGGCUCCCGUGCCA